Molecule: ribosomal RNA, 497 nt
Filed under: uncultured bacterium
Lineage: Bacteria
Description: partial 16S ribosomal RNA
Rfam family: Bacterial small subunit ribosomal RNA
Source: RNAcentral
GAUGAACGCUGGCGGCGUGCCUAAUACAUGCAAGUCGAGCGAACAGACGAGGAGCUUGCUCCUCUGACGUUAGCGGCGGACGGGUGAGUAACACGUGGAUAACCUACCUAUAAGACUGGGAUAACUUCGGGAAACCGGAGCUAAUACCGGAUAAUAUAUUGAACCGCAUGGUUCAAUAGUGAAAGACGGUUUUGCUGUCACUUAUAGAUGGAUCCGCGCCGCAUUAGCUAGUUGGUAAGGUAACGGCUUACCAAGGCAACGAUGCGUAGCCGACCUGAGAGGUUGAUCGGCCACACUGGAACUGAGACACGGUCCAGACUCCUACGGGAGGCAGCAGUAGGGAAUCUUCCGCAUUGGGCGAAAUCCUGACGGAGCAACGCCGCUUGAGUGAUGAAGGUCUUCGGAUCUUAAAACUCUGUUGUUAGGGAAGAACAAAUGUGUAAGUAACUAUGCACGUCUUGACGGUACCUAAUCAGAAAGCCACGGCUAACUACGUG